Molecule: long non-coding RNA, 426 nt
Organism: Helicoverpa armigera (cotton bollworm)
Lineage: Eukaryota; Metazoa; Arthropoda; Insecta; Lepidoptera; Noctuidae
Exons: 2
Source: RefSeq, a predicted model, not a curated record
UAUUCAACGCACAGCGUCCGUUCGAAUCUGUGUCCUCUAGUGUGGUGUGUGGAUUAUUGUUUACGUUAUAACACGCGCGUCGCGAGCCAGUCGCGUCUUGCGUUUACACGUUAAUGAUCCUUCCGCAGGUUCCCCUACGGAAACCUUGUUACGACUUUUACUUCCUCUAAAUGAUCAAGUUUGGUCAACUUCCCAGCAACGCCGACGGCCGUGAAGCCACCGCGUGUCGGUCCGAAGACCUCACUAAAUCAUUCAAUCGGUAGUAGCGACGGGCGGUGUGUACAAAGGGCAGGGACGUAAUCAACGCGAGCUUAUGACUCGCGCUUACUAGGAAUUCCUCGUUUAUGGGGGAUAAUUGCAAACCCCAAUCCCCAGCACGAAGGAGUUUCAGCGGGUUGCCCGGGCCUCUAGGCCAGGGAGAACAUG